This 229-nucleotide long non-coding RNA is filed under the name Mytilus galloprovincialis (Mediterranean mussel). Lineage: Eukaryota; Metazoa; Mollusca; Bivalvia; Mytilida; Mytilidae. The record is from RNAcentral.
GUUGUCGUUUGUUUGUGUGUUACAUAGUCGCUUUUUGUAUAAUUUUUGGUACAUAACUAAGGCCGUUGGUUUUCUCGUUUGAAUUGUUUUAUAUUGUCAUUUCGGGGCUUUUUAUAGCUGAUGAUAGGGUAUUGGCUUUGCUCAUUGUUGAUGGCCAUAUGGUGACUUGUAGUUGUUAAUUUUUGUGUCAUUUUGGUCUCUUGUGGAGAAUUGUCUCAUUGGCAAUCAU